This 854-nucleotide long non-coding RNA is filed under the name Homo sapiens (human). RNAcentral describes it as "HSALNT0197505". The record is from RNAcentral. Lineage: Eukaryota; Metazoa; Chordata; Mammalia; Primates; Hominidae.
CUAGUUGCAAAACAUCUGUGGCAACUGAGGUGUUUUACACUUGUCUGAAGUGCAGUGGUGUGGAGAGAAGGCAGUGUUCUGGCCUCAACCCUGCUCUUCUCAUCACUGGCCACCUAUGAACUCUGGCUGGCUUUGGGGUGAACGAGACACCAUCACUUUACUCUGUCAGCCUUUCUGCCAGGACUGAUUGUGGCCAUUUGUAAAUGGAAAGAAUGGGAAGGGCUUUAUCGUCCACAGGGUUUAUUUUAUAAAGAUGAGGAUUCUGAAGACACAUCUGUUCUUUGUAUAACAGAUGUUAUUUCCUUUUACAAUUUUUUUUCCCAGAUGACUUGAAUAACAAGUCAAUGAGGUUUUGUCCUCUUCAAAAUGAAUAUCCUAGACUUUAGGGGGAAAAAAAGCACAGUGGGAAUGAAAAUGAAUCUUUUUGAUUUUUGCAUUUCAGAUUCUUCAUAUUGCAUUACAAUAGUAGAACUAUCCCCACUGGAAAUCAACUGAAGUCAGGCCUUACUUUCUAAUGUGCUACUUUAUCUAGAUAGGGCUAUUUUAUUUAGAGAGUAACAAGACACUUAAGUUAUUGUUUAGAUACUUCUCUUUAGCUCAUAUUACAGAGUUAACUUUGUUCCUGGCUUACAUUUUGAGCUUGUGUACAUAAAACUGGAGGGACAGAUGCAAAUUGAAAAGUGGAACCAAGGAACAGGACACGUGUGGAUGUUGGGCGCCCUGUGAACAAAAAUUCAGAUAUUACAUGGGGUGCGUCAGUUAUCUGAAAAUGAUGGUAUGUUCAUAACUACCUAUGGCACUUCAAUUGUGAAAGCAAGCCUUAAAAUAUUUCUAAAGGAAUACAGAUUGAAAAA